AUUGAACGCUGGCGGCAUGCCUUACACAUGCAAGUCGAACGGCAGCACGGGAGCAAUCCUGGUGGCGAGUGGCGAACGGGUGAGUAAUAUAUCGGAACGUGCCCAGUCGUGGGGGAUAACGUAGCGAAAGCUACGCUAAUACCGCAUACGAUCUAUGGAUGAAAGCGGGGGACCGCAAGACCUCGCGCGAUUGGAGCGGCCGAUAUCAGAUUAGGUAGUUGGUGAGGUAAAGGCUCACCAAGCCGACGAUCUGUAGCUGGUCUGAGAGGACGACCAGCCACACUGGGACUGAGACACGGCCCAGACUCCUACGGGAGGCAGCAGUGGGGAAUUUUGGACAAUGGGCGCAAGCCUGAUCCAGCAAUGCCGCGUGCAGGAUGAAGGCCUUCGGGUUGUAAACUGCUUUUGUACGGAACGAAACGGUGAGCUCUAAUACAGUUUGCUAAUGACGGUACCGUAAGAAUAAGCACCGGCUAACUACGUG
Molecule: ribosomal RNA, 484 nt
Filed under: uncultured bacterium
Lineage: Bacteria
Description: bacterial SSU rRNA
Rfam family: Bacterial small subunit ribosomal RNA
Source: RNAcentral